Molecule: long non-coding RNA, 640 nt
Organism: Daphnia pulex (common water flea)
Lineage: Eukaryota; Metazoa; Arthropoda; Branchiopoda; Diplostraca; Daphniidae
Exons: 3
Source: RefSeq, a predicted model, not a curated record
UAUGGACUUGGGGUGUCAGAAGUGUCCAAUAGAUGACAUAGGCGUCGUCGUUUUCAUGUGAUGGCGGAUUGUUGUGUCAGUGGUUGUCAAAAGUUUUCCUAUUUUUCCAUGAAAAUUACCGAUGAAUUCAUCAGUAAAUUCAAGUUCUUUUCUGUGCAACUUGUUUGCGAUGUGAUUUAAACUCAGUAGGUCACUACUGGGUCACUACCCCAGUGUGGACAUGUUUGUUUUUCUGAACAUGCUUUUCAACAAAUAAUUCAUUGACGUACAAGGAAAGCUAUGAAAAAUAUCAUAUCAUCUAGGCCAUGGGUAAUCUUCAGGUUUAUUGCAGCAGCUUAAGAGAAGAAUGUGAACAAAUGCAGGGCACUGGUCACAUACCAACACGUGUUGUAUUUUUCUGAAUGUUAAACACGAGCAGCAGAUUCAACAUGACUAACUGUUUGAUGCCAAAGUUAGUUGGAACUCAACUCACUGUGCGUACUCUAAAAACACAGAUAACUGGUGCUGUUGCCUUUCAGCCACCGGCAGGAAAAUGAUUCUUUUCUUCAGAAAAUUGCAAGUUUAAUUUUUUGUCUUGACCCCCAACACUUUCUGUUAAUAUUAUAGAUUUUUAUGUUGAAAGAGUUACAAAGUUUGAAAA